This 21-nucleotide microRNA is filed under the name Callithrix jacchus (white-tufted-ear marmoset). Its description in RNAcentral is "cja-miR-556". Its record names the gene cja-miR-556. RNAcentral also lists the same sequence under 2 other names. Lineage: Eukaryota; Metazoa; Chordata; Mammalia; Primates; Cebidae. The record is from miRBase by way of RNAcentral.
GAUGAGCUCAUUGUAAUAUGA